AAAGGAUAUGACAUAAUUUAGACUUGAUCUGAGUGCUAGAACAAGUUAUUCGAUGAUAAUUUAUUUGAUACAAAAAUUUUAUUAUUUAAUUUUUUUAGUUAUUAAUAAGUCGUAAUAUUCAUAAUUUGAUAGGAUUGCAAAUUUUACAUACCAAAUAAUUAAUUUUAUAUUGAAAAGAUAACUCAAUAUUUUAUUCUAUUUGAUACACUUGACCAUACCUUUAACUUCUAAUCAUAAUAAAAUUUUUUUAAUAUCAAACAUAAAAAAUAUUAUUGAAUAAUUUAUUCGGAUAAUCACAUGAGGCCUUAUUUUAUUUUUGUAAAAACUUCAAAUAUCAUUUCUGUGGUUUCACAAUUUCUCACUUUAGUAUUAAAUAGUUUAAAGUGUAUUAAUUUAGUGUUCUAUGAUUUUAUUUUUAUCUUUUUAUUAUCGAUUUCACUAAUUUUUUUUUGUUAAANAAAUUAUAUACAAAAAACUUUAGAUACUCCACCUAAGUUUAUCAAAUAUUCACUUUAGUGUUCUAUGAUUUUAUUUUUAUCUUUUUAUUAUCGAUUUCACUAAUUUUUUUUUGUUAAAGCAGUGAUAAAGCUAAAAUUAAAGGGUACUAAAGUGAAUAUUUGAUAAACUUAGGUGGAGUAUCUAAAGUUUUUUGUAUAUAAUUUAAGGAAAUAUUAACGAAAAAACUAACGAAAUGAUAAAAAUAAAAAUACAAGAUGCUAACUUGAUGUACUUUAAACUACAGAAUAUUAAAGUAAAAACAUACGAAAUCAUAGGAGUGGUAUAUGAAGUUUACACUUUAUUUUUUCAACAAAUUGUACUCCUAUUUUCACGGA
This 833-nucleotide long non-coding RNA is filed under the name Ananas comosus (pineapple). RNAcentral's name for it is "long non-coding RNA (ACOM_LNC023759)". The record is from RNAcentral. Lineage: Eukaryota; Viridiplantae; Streptophyta; Magnoliopsida; Poales; Bromeliaceae.